AGUGAACGCUGGCGGCAGGCCUAACACAUGCAAGUCGAGCGGCAGCGCGGGGCAACCUGGCGGCGAGCGGCGGACGGGUGAGGAAUACAUCGGAAUCUACCCUGUCGUGGGGGAUAACGUAGGGAAACUUACACUAAUACCGCAUACGAACUGAGGUUGAAAGCGGCGGACCGCAAGGCGUCGCGCGAUUGGAUGAGCCGAUGUCCGAUUAGCUAGUUGGCGGGGUAAAGGCCCACCAAGGCGACGAUCGGUAGCUGGUCUGAGAGGACGACCAGCCACACUGGAACUGAGACACGGUCCAGACUCCUACGGGAGGCAGCAGUGGGGAAUAUUGGACAAUGGGGGCAACCCUGAUCCAGCCAUGCCGCGUGUGUGAAGAAGGCCUUCGGGUUGUAAAGCACUUUUGUCCGGAACGAAAAGCGGUCGACUAAUACUCGGCCGUGCUGACGGUACCGGAAGAAUAAGCACCGGCUAACUUCGUGCCAGCAGCCGCCGUAA
RNAcentral lists this ribosomal RNA (498 nucleotides) under uncultured bacterium. RNAcentral describes it as "partial 16S ribosomal RNA". It matches the Rfam family "Bacterial small subunit ribosomal RNA", at positions 29 to 523 of the family's 1533-position model. The record is from RNAcentral.